CUCAGGAGCAGGUGCUGUUGAUGGAUC
RNAcentral lists this non-coding RNA (27 nucleotides) under Rattus norvegicus (Norway rat). The record is from RNAcentral. Lineage: Eukaryota; Metazoa; Chordata; Mammalia; Rodentia; Muridae.